Molecule: ribosomal RNA, 908 nt
Filed under: uncultured archaeon
Lineage: Archaea
Description: bacterial SSU rRNA
Rfam family: Archaeal small subunit ribosomal RNA
Source: RNAcentral
UUGAUCCUGCCGGAGGUCACUGCUAUUGGGAUUCGACUAAGCCAUGCGAGUCGCGAGGGUUCGGCCCUCGGCUGACGGCUCAGUAACACGCGGAUAAUCUGCCCUUAGGUGGAGGAUAACCUCGGGAAACUGAGAAUAAGACUCCAUAGAUCUAGGAGGCUGGAAUGCACUUAGAUUAAAAACUUCGGUGCCUAAGGAUGAGUCCGCGGACUAUCAGGUAGUAGUCAGGGUAAUGACCUGACCAGCCUACGACGGAUACGGGUUGUGAGAGCAAUAACCCGGAGAUGAUAUCUGAGACACGAUAUCAGGCCCUACGGGGCGCAGCAGGCGCGAAAACUUCACACUGUGCGAAAGCACGAUGAGGGAAUCCCAAGUGCUGACUCGUAAGAGUCAGCUGUUUUUCUGUCUAGAAAACAGAGAGAGUAAGGGCUGGGUAAGACGGGUGCCAGCCGCCGCGGUAAUACCUGCAGCCCGAGUGGUGGCCGCUAUUAUUGGGCCUAAAACGUCCGUAGCCGGUCUAGUAAAUGCCUGGGUAAAUCGUACGGCUUAACCGUACGAAUUCCGGGUAGACUGCUGGACUUGGGACUGGGAGAGGCUAGAGGUACUCCUGGGGUAGAGGUGAAAUUCUGUAAUCCUAGGGGGACGACCAGUGGCGAAGGCGUCUAGCUAGAACAGGUCUGACGGUGAGGGACGAAGCCCUGGGGCACAAACGGGAUUAGAUACCCCGGUAGUCCAGGGUGUAAACGCUGCUUGCUUGAUGUUAGUCGGGCUCCGAGCCCGAUUAGUGUCGGAGAGAAGUUGUUAAGCAAGCUGCCUGGGGAGUACGGCCGCAAGACUGAAACUUAAAGGAAUUGGCGGGGGAGCACCGCAACGGGUGGAGCGUGCGGUUUAAUUGGAGUCAACGCCGG